GAGUUUGAUCCUGGCUCAGGAUAAACGCUGGCGGCGCACAUAAGACAUGCAAGUCGAACGGACUUAACUCAUUCUUUUAGUUUGAGAGCGGUUAGUGGCGGACUGGUGAGUAACACGUAAGCAACCUGCCUAUUAGAGGGGAAUAACAGUGAGAAAUCAUUGCUAAUACCGCAUAUGCUAACAGUAUCGUAUGAUACAGUUAGGGAAGGAGCAAUCCGCUAAUAGAUGGGCUUGCGUCUGAUUAGUUAGUUGGUGGGGUAACGGCCUACCAAGACUACGAUCAGUAGCCGGACUGAGAGGUUGAACGGCCACAUUGGGACUGAGAUACGGCCCAGACUCCUACGGGAGGCAGCAGUCGGGAAUAUUGCGCAAUGGAGGAAACUCUGACGCAGUGACGCCGCGUAUAGGAAGAAGGUUUUCGGAUUGUAAACUAUUGUCGUUAGGGAAGAUAAAAGACUGUACCUAAGGAGGAAGCCCCGGCUAACUAUGUGCCAGCAGCCGCGGUAAUACAUAGGGGGCAAGCGUUAUCCGGAAUUAUUGGGUGUAAAGGGUGCGUAGACGGAGAAACAAGUUGGUUGUGAAAUCCCUCGGCUCAACUGAGGAACUGCAACCAAAACUAUUUC
Molecule: ribosomal RNA, 623 nt
Filed under: uncultured bacterium
Lineage: Bacteria
Description: bacterial SSU rRNA
Rfam family: Bacterial small subunit ribosomal RNA
Source: RNAcentral